GGAUAUAGCUCAGUGGUAGAGCGUGUGCUUAGCAUGCACAAAGUCCUGGGUUCAAUCCCAAGUACCUCCU
Molecule: transfer RNA, 70 nt
Filed under: Camelus bactrianus (Bactrian camel)
Lineage: Eukaryota; Metazoa; Chordata; Mammalia; Artiodactyla; Camelidae
Also listed under: 2 other names
Rfam family: tRNA
About the family: Transfer RNA (tRNA) molecules are approximately 80 nucleotides in length. Their secondary structure includes four short double-helical elements and three loops (D, anti-codon, and T loops).
Source: Rfam by way of RNAcentral